GACUCCUACGGGAGGCAGCAGUGAGGAAUAUUGCGCAAUGGGGGAAACCCUGACGCAGCAACGCCGCGUGUGGGAAGAAGGCCUUCGGGUCGUAAACCACUUUUGCACGGGACGAAAAAGGGAUAUCGAACAAAUAUCCCCGAUGACGGUACCGUGAGAAUAAGCCACGGCUAACUCUGUGCCAGCAGCCGCGGUAAGACAGAGGUGGCAAGCGUUGUUCG
This 221-nucleotide ribosomal RNA is filed under the name uncultured bacterium. RNAcentral describes it as "partial 16S ribosomal RNA". It matches the Rfam family "Bacterial small subunit ribosomal RNA", at positions 334 to 547 of the family's 1533-position model. The record is from RNAcentral.